AACGAACGCUGGCGGCAGGCCUAACACAUGCAAGUCGAACGAGAUCUUCGGGUCUAGUGGCGCACGGGUGCGUAACGCGUGGGAAUCUGCCCUUUGGUUAGGAAUAACAGUUGGAAACGACUGCUAAUACCGGAUGAUGACGAAAGUCCAAAGAUUUAUCGCCAGAGGAUGAGCCCGCGUAGGAUUAGCUAGUUGGUGUGGUAAAGGCGCACCAAGGCGACGAUCCUUAGCUGGUCUGAGAGGAUGAUCAGCCACACUGGGACUGAGACACGGCCCAGACUCCUACGGGAGGCAGCAGUGGGGAAUAUUGGACAAUGGGCGAAAGCCUGAUCCAGCAAUGCCGCGUGAGUGAUGAAGGCCUUAGGGUUGUAAAGCUCUUUUACCCGGGAUGAUAAUGACAGUACCGGGAGAAUAAGCUCCGGCUAACUCCGUGCCAGCAGCCGCCGUAA
RNAcentral lists this ribosomal RNA (449 nucleotides) under uncultured bacterium. RNAcentral's name for it is "partial 16S ribosomal RNA". It matches the Rfam family "Bacterial small subunit ribosomal RNA", at positions 29 to 523 of the family's 1533-position model. The record is from RNAcentral.